GACGAACGCUGGCGGCGUGCCUAAUACAUGCAAGUAGAACGCUGAAGGAGGAGCUUGCUCUUCUGGAUGAGUUGCGAACGGGUGAGUAACGCGUAGGUAACCUGCCUGUUAGCGUGGGAUAACUUUUGGAAACGAUAGCUAAUACCGCAUAACAGUUCAUGUUUCAUGACAUUUUCUUAAAAGUUUCACUUGUUCCACUACCAGUUGGACCUGCGUUGUAUUAUCUUGUUGGUGGGGUAACGGCUCACCUAGGCGACGAUACAUAGCCGGACUGAGAGGGGGAAUCAGCGAAAUUGGAAAGAGAAAAGGCACAAAAGACAACGGGGAGGAGAAGAAGGGAAAAAUAAGAAAAGGAGGGAAAAGAGAAAGAAAAAAGACGAGGGAGGGAAGAAAGAUUUCGGGUCGUAAAAAUCUGUUGUAAGGGAAGAACGAGUGUGAGAGUGGAAAGUACACAGUGUGACGGUAACUAACAAAAAAGGGACGGCUAACUACGUG
This 495-nucleotide ribosomal RNA is filed under the name uncultured bacterium. RNAcentral's name for it is "partial 16S ribosomal RNA". It matches the Rfam family "Bacterial small subunit ribosomal RNA", at positions 28 to 507 of the family's 1533-position model. The record is from RNAcentral.